GAUGAAGAACGCAGCGAAACGCGAUAGUUAAUGUGAAUUGCAGAAUUCAGUGAAUCAUCGAGUCUUUGAACGCACAUUGCGCCCAUUGGUAUUCCGUUGGGCAUGUCUGUUUGAGCGUCAUUACAACAGUUCAGCGUAAGCUGGUUAUGAGUUCUGUUUUUUUAAACAAAAAACAGGCUUUAAAAUGUAUGUUCUGCAGGUCGCUUUGCUAAACCCUAAACAUUAAAUACUGUUCUAGUGAAGCAUUUGCGACUAUGCCUGAAAAAAAACUUUUGUUAAAGUUUGACCUCAGAUCAGACAAGGAUACCCGCUGAACUUAAGCAUAUCAAUAAGCGGAGGA
Molecule: unclassified non-coding RNA, 340 nt
Filed under: soil metagenome
Description: partial contains 5.8S ribosomal RNA, internal transcribed spacer 2, and large subunit ribosomal RNA
Rfam family: 5.8S ribosomal RNA (bases 1-120)
Source: RNAcentral